Molecule: ribosomal RNA, 1415 nt
Filed under: uncultured Rhodobacterales bacterium
Lineage: Bacteria; Pseudomonadati; Pseudomonadota; Alphaproteobacteria; Rhodobacterales
Description: partial small subunit ribosomal RNA
Rfam family: Bacterial small subunit ribosomal RNA
Source: RNAcentral
GACGCUGGCGGUGCGCCUUAUGCAUGCAAGUUGAGCGAAGCUUUUUGGUAGUUUACUACUAGAAAUGACUGAGCGGCGAACGGGUGAGUAACGCGUGAGCAAUCUACCUUAGUUACUGGGAUAGCCCGAGGAAACUCGGAUUAAUACCGGAUAUUCUUAUUUUUUCACAUGAAGUUUUAAGGAAAGGUCAGCCGAACUAAGAUGAGCUCGCGUUCUAUCAGCUAGUUGGUGGGGUAAAAGCCUACCAAGGCUACGACGGAUAGCUGGUCUGAGAGGACGAUCCCCCACACUGGUACUGAGACACGGACCAGACUCCUACGGGAGGCAGCAGUGAGGAAUAUUGGUCAAUGGGCGCAAGCCUGAUCCAGCCAUGCCGCGUGUGUGAUGAAGGCCUUAGGGUCGUAAAGCACUUUCGCCAGAGAUGAUAAUGACAGUAUCUGGUAAAGAAACCCCGGCUAACUCCGUGCCAGCAGCCGCGGUAAUACGGAGGGGGUUAGCGUUGUUCGGAAUUACUGGGCGUAAAGCGCACGUAGGCGGAUUAGUCAGUCAGAGGUGAAAUCCCAGGGCUCAACCCUGGAACUGCCUUUGAUACUGCUAGUCUUGAGUUCGAGAGAGGUGAGUGGAAUUCCGAGUGUAGAGGUGAAAUUCGUAGAUAUUCGGAGGAACAUCAGUGGCGAAGGCGGCUCACUGGCUCGAUACUGACGCUGAGGUGCGAAAGUGUGGGGAGCAAACAGGAUUAGAUACCCUGGUAGUCCACACCGUAAACGAUGAAUGCCAGUCGUCGGGUAGUAUACUAUUCGGUGACACACCUAACGGAUUAAGCAUUCCGCCUGGGGAGUACGGUCGCAAGAUUAAAACUCAAAGGAAUUGACGGGGGCCCGCACAAGCGGUGGAGCAUGUGGUUUAAUUCGACGCAACGCGCAGAACCUUACCAACCCUUGACAUACUUGUCGCGGAUUCCAGAGAUGGAUUCCUUCAGUUCGGCUGGACAAUGUACAGGUGCUGCAUGGCUGUCGUCAGCUCGUGUCGUGAGAUGUUCGGUUAAGUCCGGCAACGAGCGCAACCCACGUCCUUAGUUACCAGCAUUUAGUUGGGUACCCUAAGGAGACUGCCGGUGAUAAGCCGGAGGAAGGUGUGGACGACGUCAAGUCAUCAUGGCCCUUACGGGUUGGGCUACACACGUGCUACAAUGGCAUCUACAGUGAGUUAAUCUCCAAAAGAUGUCUCAGUUCGGAUUGGGGUUUGCAACUCGACCCCAUGAAGUUGGAAUCGCUAGUAAUCGCGGAACAGCAUGCCGCGGUGAAUACGUUCCCGGGCCUUGUACACACCGCCCGUCACACCAUGGGAAUUGGGUCUACCCGAAGGUGGUGCGCCAACUAUUUAUAGGGGCAGCCAACCACGGCAGGUCAGUGACU